This 468-nucleotide ribosomal RNA is filed under the name uncultured bacterium. Its description in RNAcentral is "partial 16S ribosomal RNA". It matches the Rfam family "Bacterial small subunit ribosomal RNA", at positions 28 to 507 of the family's 1533-position model. The record is from RNAcentral.
GACGAACGAUGGCGGCGUGCUUAACGCAUGCCAGUCGAACGGAAAGGCCCUGCUUUUGUGGGGUGCUCGAGUGGCGAACGGGUGAGUAACACGUGAGUAACCUGCCCUUGACUUUGGGAUAACUUCAGGAAACUGGGGCUAAUACCGGAUAGGAGCUCCUGCUGCAUGGUGGGGGUUGGAAAGUUUCGGCGGUUGGGGAUGGACUCGCGGCUUAUCAGCUUGUUGGUGGGGUAGUGGCUUACCAAGGCUUUGACGGGUAGCCGGCCUGAGAGGGUGACCGGCCACAUUGGGACUGAGAUACGGCCCAGACUCCUACGGGAGGCAGCAGUGGGGAAUAUUGCACAAUGGGCGGAAGCCUGAUGCAGCAACGCCGCGUGCGGGAUGACGGCCUUCGGGUUGUAAACCGCUUUCGCCUGUGACGAAGCGUGAGUGACGGUAAUGGGUAAAGAAGCACCGGCUAACUACGUG